This 506-nucleotide ribosomal RNA is filed under the name uncultured bacterium. RNAcentral's name for it is "partial 16S ribosomal RNA". It matches the Rfam family "Bacterial small subunit ribosomal RNA", at positions 30 to 523 of the family's 1533-position model. The record is from RNAcentral.
AUUGAACGCUGGCGGCAUGCCUUACACAUGCAAGUCGAGCGGUAACACAGAGGAGCUUGCUCCUUGGGUGACGAGCGGCGGACGGGUGAGUAAUGCCUGGGGAUCUGCCCGAUAGAGGGGGAUAACUACGGGAAACUGUAGCUAAUACCGCAUAAUGUCUACGGACCAAAGUGGGAGCUCUUCGGACCUCAUGCUAUCGGAUGAACCCAGGUGGGAUUAGCUAGUUGGUGAGGUAAUGGCUCACCAAGGCGACGAUCUCUAACUGGUUUGAGAGAAUGACCAGUCACACUGGAACUGAGACACGGUCCAGACUCCUACGGGAGGCAGCAGUGGGGAAUAUUGCACAACGGGCGCAAGCCUGAUGCAGCCAUGCCGCGUGUGUGAAGAAGGCCUUCGGGUUGUAAAGCACUUUCAGCGGGGAGGAAGGGUCACUAGUUAAUACCUAGUGGCAUUGACGUUACUCGCAGAAGAAGCACCGGCUAACUCCGUGCCAGCAGCAGCCGCCG